Molecule: ribosomal RNA, 502 nt
Filed under: uncultured bacterium
Lineage: Bacteria
Description: partial 16S ribosomal RNA
Rfam family: Bacterial small subunit ribosomal RNA
Source: RNAcentral
GACGAACGCUGGUGGCGUGCUUAACACAUGCAAGUCGAACGGUGAAGGGGUCUGCUUUUGUGGGCCCUGGAUGAGUGGCGAACGGGUGAGUAACACGUGAGUAACCUGCCCCCUUCUUCUGGAUAACCGCAUGAAAGUGUGGCUAAUACGGGAUAUUCUGGGUCUGUCGCAUGAUGGGUCUGGGAAAGAUUGCGCCUUUGGGUGUUUUUGGUGGGGGAUGGGCUCGCGGCCUAUCAGCUUGUGGGUGGGGUGAUGGCCUACCAAGGCGGUGACGGGUAGCCGGCCUGAGAGGGUGGACGGUCACACUGGGACUGAGACACGGCCCAGACUCCUACGGGAGGCAGCAGUGGGGAAUAUUGCACAAUGGGCGCAAGCCUGAUGCAGCGACGCCGCGUGAGGGAUGGAGGCCUUCGGGUUGUAAACCUCUUUCGCCAGUGAAGCAGGCCUGCUCCUUGUGGGUGGGUUGACGGUAGCUGGAGAAGAAGCGCCGGCUAACUACGUG